GCAAGUCGAGCGGUAGCGGGAAGAGCUUGCUCUUUGCCGACGAGCGGCGGACGGGUGCGUAACACGUAGGAAUCUGCCUGGUAGUGGGGGAUAGCCCGGAGAAAUCCGGAUUAAUACCGCAUACGCCCUAAGGGGGAAAGGAGGGGACUCUUCGGAGCCUUUCGCUAUCAGAUGAGCCUGCGUCGGAUUAGCUUGUUGGUGGGGUAAAGGCCUACCAAGGCAACGAUCUUUAGCUGUUCUGAGAGGAUGAUC
RNAcentral lists this ribosomal RNA (252 nucleotides) under uncultured bacterium. RNAcentral describes it as "partial 16S ribosomal RNA". It matches the Rfam family "Bacterial small subunit ribosomal RNA", at positions 57 to 305 of the family's 1533-position model. The record is from RNAcentral.